Molecule: ribosomal RNA, 466 nt
Filed under: uncultured bacterium
Lineage: Bacteria
Description: partial 16S ribosomal RNA
Rfam family: Bacterial small subunit ribosomal RNA
Source: RNAcentral
CGAACGCUGGCGGCGUGCUUAACACAUGCAAGUCGAACGGAAAGGCCCUGCUUUUGUGGGGUGCUCGAGUGGCGAACGGGUGAGUAACACGUGAGUAACCUGCCCUUGACUUUGGGAUAACUUCAGGAAACUGGGGCUAAUACCGGAUAGGAGCUCCUGCUGCAUGGUGGGGGUUGGAAAGUUUCGGCGGUUGGGGAUGGACUCGCGGCUUAUCAGCUUGUUGGUGGGGUAGUGGCUUACCAAGGCUUUGACGGGUAGCCGGCCUGAGAGGGUGACCGGCCACAUUGGGACUGAGAUACGGCCCAGACUCCUACGGGAGGCAGCAGUGGGGAAUAUUGCACAAUGGGCGGAAGCCUGAUGCAGCAACGCCGCGUGCGGGAUGACGGCCUUCGGGUUGUAAACCGCUUUCGCCUGUGACGAAGCGCGAGUGACGGUAAUGGGUAAAGAAGCACCGGCUAACUACGUG